GUAAGGCCACACCAAUUUGAUUCCUUGUUCGACGGACCCGCCCGCACUAUUUUUUUUCAAAACAGAUUUUUUUUAUUUUUUUUAUAUUCCCGCUUCCCGCAUCCGGAAAUGUAAACAUGUCUAUUUCCCGCACCGUUUUUUUGAAAAUAUUAUAAAAAGAUAUCAACAUUGGUUUCUUUCCCCCUUACUUAUAUUCCCUAUCCAAAAUGUUCCGUUGUUAGAAUAAAGUACAACGAACUUCUGAAGGAUUUGCCUUCAACUGCAAUUAUAUUGUAUGCUGGCAAAACAAAACUAUCUAUAGCCGCUGCAUGUUUAUGCACCUGUCCUGAUUGAUUCAGGGCCUGUCGUUCAGCAGUUAUUAUCGUUUGUUGAUGUUGUUCAUUGG
RNAcentral lists this long non-coding RNA (385 nucleotides) under Mytilus galloprovincialis (Mediterranean mussel). Lineage: Eukaryota; Metazoa; Mollusca; Bivalvia; Mytilida; Mytilidae. The record is from RNAcentral.